UUUUACCAUUUUUAAGGGGUUCAUGAGCUCAGAAGGUGAAAUCGUAAUUUGGGCCUAAGUACAAUUUCAAGGACUAUUUAUCGGACUUUAAUGAAUUCAGCUUCUGAGCUCAUGAACCCCUUAGAAAUGGUAAAAA
Molecule: microRNA precursor, 136 nt
Filed under: Beta vulgaris subsp. vulgaris (sugar beet)
Lineage: Eukaryota; Viridiplantae; Streptophyta; Magnoliopsida; Caryophyllales; Amaranthaceae
Description: pre miRNA MIR396
Source: RNAcentral